UUAUUGGAGAGUUUGAUCCUGGCUCAGGAUGAACGCUGGCGGCGUGCCUAAUACAUGCAAGUCGAGCGAAUGGAUUAAGAGCUUGCUCUUAUGAAGUUAGCGGCGGACGGGUGAGUAACACGUGGGUAACCUGCCCAUAAGACUGGGAUAACUCCGGGAAACCGGGGCUAAUACCGGAUAAUAUUUUGAACUGCAUAGUUCGAAAUUGAA
Molecule: ribosomal RNA, 210 nt
Filed under: Bacillus cereus
Lineage: Bacteria; Bacillati; Bacillota; Bacilli; Caryophanales; Bacillaceae
Description: partial 16S ribosomal RNA
Rfam family: Bacterial small subunit ribosomal RNA
Source: RNAcentral